RNAcentral lists this unclassified non-coding RNA (147 nucleotides) under Xenorhabdus mauleonii. RNAcentral's name for it is "STAXI RNA". The record is from RNAcentral. Lineage: Bacteria; Pseudomonadati; Pseudomonadota; Gammaproteobacteria; Enterobacterales; Morganellaceae.
UAUUGAUUGAUCCCAUUAGCGGAUGCUUUAAAAAUCACGCAGUUUUUAGCCGAAAACUCCCGUAGCCUGAAAGGGAGCGCCUGUUUGCGGUACAUCUGCCCACCUUUGGAAGCAGAUAUUGCCAGCCCAACGGCAGUGAAGGUUUUU